UACAGAGGGUGCGAGCGUUAAUCGGAAUUACUGGGCGUAAAGCGCGCGUAGGCGGCUUUUCAAGCCGAUUGUGAAAUCCCCGGGCUUAACCUGGGAACUGCAGUCGGGACUGUCUAGCUAGAGUAUGGGAGAGGGAAGUGGAAUUUCAGGUGUAGCGGUGAAAUUCGUAGAUAUUCGCAAGAACACCAGUGGCGAAGGCGGCUCACUGGCCCGGUACUGACGCUGAGGUGCGAAAGCGUGGGGAGCAAACAGG
RNAcentral lists this ribosomal RNA (253 nucleotides) under uncultured bacterium. Its description in RNAcentral is "partial 16S ribosomal RNA". It matches the Rfam family "Bacterial small subunit ribosomal RNA", at positions 524 to 776 of the family's 1533-position model. The record is from RNAcentral.